Molecule: non-coding RNA, 26 nt
Filed under: Rattus norvegicus (Norway rat)
Lineage: Eukaryota; Metazoa; Chordata; Mammalia; Rodentia; Muridae
Source: RNAcentral
UGAACCUUGGCUUGCUGCUCAAGUGC